GUCCACGCCGUAAACGAUGAUAACUAGCUGUCCGGGUACUUGGUACUUGGGUGGCGCAGCUAACGCAUUAAGUUAUCCGCCUGGGGAGUACGGUCGCAAGAUUAAAACUCAAAGGAAUUGACGGGGGCCUGCACAAGCGGUGGAGCAUGUGGUUUAAUUCGAAGCAACGCGCAGAACCUUACCAGCGUUUGACAUCCCGCGCUAUCACAAGAGAUUGUGAGUUCCCUUCGGGGACGCGGUGACAGGUGCUGCAUGGCUGUCGU
This 263-nucleotide ribosomal RNA is filed under the name uncultured bacterium. RNAcentral's name for it is "partial 16S ribosomal RNA". It matches the Rfam family "Bacterial small subunit ribosomal RNA", at positions 793 to 1055 of the family's 1533-position model. The record is from RNAcentral.